This 241-nucleotide long non-coding RNA is filed under the name Lathyrus oleraceus (garden pea). RNAcentral describes it as "Pisum sativum (pea) long non-coding RNA (PSAT_LNC018231)". The record is from RNAcentral. Lineage: Eukaryota; Viridiplantae; Streptophyta; Magnoliopsida; Fabales; Fabaceae.
AACGUUAUAGGUCAUUUUGGGCCAUUACCAUUGAAUAAGCAAUUUUCCUCAACUUCUAAAAUGCAUAACUCCAUCAUGCCAAAUCCAAUUGAUGUAAAAUUUGUGACCAAAUUUAAGAGGAAUUAAAUAUUUACAACUUUGAUGAAGAAAACAUUUCCAUUUGGAGCUCAUAUCAAAAGUUAUUCAAGGUGGAAGAAGUGGUCAUUUGACUUUAUACUUAGAAAAUUUUCAACUAUGUUUG